RNAcentral lists this ribosomal RNA (254 nucleotides) under uncultured bacterium. RNAcentral describes it as "partial 16S ribosomal RNA". It matches the Rfam family "Bacterial small subunit ribosomal RNA", at positions 524 to 776 of the family's 1533-position model. The record is from RNAcentral.
UACGUAGGGUGCAAGCGUUAAUCGGAAUUACUGGGCGUAAAGCGUGCGCAGGCGGUCUGUUAAGACCGAUGUGAAAUCCCCGGGCUUAACCUGGGAACUGCAUUGGUGACUGGCAGGCUUUGAGUGUGGCAGAGGGAGGUAGAAUUCCACGUGUAGCAGUGAAAUGCGUAGAGGUGUGGAGGAAUACCGAUGGCGAAGGCAGCCUCCUGGGCCAACACUGACGCUCAUGCACGAAAGCCGGGGGAGCAAACAGG